GGGAUAUUACAGGAUCGAAAGACUCCUAUAACCCCUGUGAACUUACUACAAAUACGUUGCUUCGGCGGGUGCCCCGGGUCUCCCGGGGCGUUCAGCCCGCCGGCAGCCUUCAAAUUCUGUUUCUUUGCGUUGGCAUCUCGAGUAUACAAAAAUAAGUUAAAACUUUCAACAACGGAUCUCUUGGUUCUGGCAUCGAUGAAGAACGCAGCGAAAUGCGAUAAGUAAUGCGAAUUGCAGAAUUCCGUGAGUCAUCGAAUCUUUGAACGCACAUUGCGCCCGCCAGCAUUCUGGCGGGCAUGCCUGUUCGAGCGUCAUUUCAACCCUCAGGCCCUGCCUGGCGUUGGAGGACUGCACUGCAGCCUCCCAAAGCGAGCGGCGGCGGCGCCCCACAACCGAACGCAGUAGUUAUACCUCGUUCUGGGCGUGGGACGUUGUCCUGCCGGAAAACACCCCCUUUUUAAUUGUUGACCUCGAAUCAGGUAGGAAUACCCGCUGAACUUAAGCAUAUCAAUAAGCCGGAGGAAAAAGG
This 529-nucleotide ribosomal RNA is filed under the name Chloridium chloroconium. RNAcentral's name for it is "eukaryotic LSU rRNA". The stretch from base 161 to 314 matches the Rfam family "5.8S ribosomal RNA". The record is from RNAcentral. Lineage: Eukaryota; Fungi; Ascomycota; Sordariomycetes; Chaetosphaeriales; Chaetosphaeriaceae.